This 614-nucleotide long non-coding RNA is filed under the name Rattus norvegicus (Norway rat). Its description in RNAcentral is "long non-coding RNA NONRATT000731". Lineage: Eukaryota; Metazoa; Chordata; Mammalia; Rodentia; Muridae. The record is from RNAcentral.
GGAGUGUUGGACUCUGGUUGAGCAUCUAGAAAUGAAUCUCGCUUGCUCCCUAAGCAUUGCCAUUCCGAAUGCCAAGAGCUAAGAGCUGGAUCCCACUGUUGCAGAAUCCAAAACAAAGCCGGAAGGAGGGGUUGCCUUUCCAGCCGUGCUUGAACAGCUUGGGGGAUGAUGCAGUAGCCCGGAGCAGUGGCUAUCUGCAGAAGAAAAGCAAUCUGUCUGGACCCUAAGGAUAACAGGCAAAGCCAGCUGCAAACAUCUGCCAGCAUGCUGGCUGAGGAAGCAGAACUCAGGUGAGCUCUGAGCCCAUAAGCUGUUCAGCUGCUAUCAAAGGAGGCUGGCUGCGGGUGCAGGCGUCCACCUGAGGAGUGGAUGUUAACAGUAGCUGUCCUGUUCUGGGCCCUGGCCUUGGCAUCCUAGACUGGGGGGGCCCUUAACGUCAGCUUCCUUGUUCCCAACAGCUAUCCCCACUCUAAACUUUGCUCACCGAGUGUCCGCAUGCAUGUGGAGUUGGCAUUAAAAAUAGACUUCUACAUUUGAUCACAAGCCAGGUCGGUGACAGACACAGACCAUGGACAAUGAUCCGGAAUUGAUGGUGCACAUAACCAACAGAAAAA